This 451-nucleotide ribosomal RNA is filed under the name uncultured bacterium. RNAcentral describes it as "partial 16S ribosomal RNA". It matches the Rfam family "Bacterial small subunit ribosomal RNA", at positions 354 to 796 of the family's 1533-position model. The record is from RNAcentral.
GUGGGGAAUAUUGGACAAUGGGGGGAACCCUGAUCCAGCCAUGCCGCGUGUGUGAAGAAGGCCUUUUGGUUGUAAAGCACUUUAAGCGAGGAGGAGGCUACCGAGAUUAAUACUCUUGGAUAGUGGACGUUACUCGCAGAAUAAGCACCGGCUAACUCUGUGCCAGCAGCCGCGGUAAUACAGAGGGUGCAAGCGUUAAUCGGAUUUACUGGGCGUAAAGCGCGCGUAGGUGGCCAAUUAAGUCAAAUGUGAAAUCCCCGAGCUUAACUUGGGAAUUGCAUUCGUUACUGGUUGGCUAGAGUAUGGGAGAGGAUGGUAGAAUUCCAGGUGUAGCGGUGAAAUGCGUAGAGAUCUGGAGGAAUACCGAUGGCGAAGGCAGCCAUCUGGCCUAAUACUGACACUGAGGUGCGAAAGCAUGGGGAGCAAACAGGAUUAGAAACCCCGGUAGUCC